Molecule: non-coding RNA, 985 nt
Organism: Cucurbita pepo subsp. pepo (vegetable marrow)
Lineage: Eukaryota; Viridiplantae; Streptophyta; Magnoliopsida; Cucurbitales; Cucurbitaceae
Source: RefSeq, a predicted model, not a curated record
CAAGGCCAAGGAGGUAAGUAACCUUACUGUUGGCGUUAGUUUUGUAUGUAUGUUGGUGCGUGCCCUGUGGCCCUUGCAUGCACCAUAUGUUGUUGCUGUAUGCUAGGUUAGAUGUUUCUUGUCGUGAAAUGCUAUGCAUGCUUUGUUUAUGUAUGUGAUUCUUGCAGUGAAUUGCUAUGUAUGCCAUGUUUAUGAAUAUGAUGUUGUGACGCGUUUUGUCGCCCUGUAUGUAUGAUGAGCUUGAUUGACAUGUUAUGAUUGUAAUGAGAACCCCACAUGCCAUGAAUAAGAUGACUAGUAUGCUAGGACAUGCUUGCUCAAUGUGGACCCGGUUAUGCUAUGUUAUGCUUGCCUAAUGUGGACCCGGUUAUGCUACGUAAUGCGGCGAGGGGAUGGAGCGUCGUAUGUGUAAUGCCAUGGAGGUAAACCUUAAGAACCUCAUGCACGCUAUGGUUGGGGCACUCCCCCGUUAUGCUACUGAUGGUAUGGAUGCGUAUAUUCGAUAUUGUGUUCGCCACGAUAUCAUGCAGGCCCUCCUUUGUCCGUGGCGUCCGGUAUUGUAUGUCAUACAUACCCGACCAAGCCAGGCCCAGGGAGUUCGCUUGCGAGCUCGCCUGGUGGGCCCACAGUCACACACGUGGGCCAUGUGUGGGAAAUUACCAUGCAUCCACCCCCGCCCGGACAAGGCAAGGGCCUAAGGCCAUGGGAAGGAAUGGAAGACAAACCUCUCUCUCAGCUGCGUUCUUCUAACAUUGUGCGGCAUGUAUGGAAAGGGCAAGGCUCCCAUGUACGGGUGACAGUGGAUGAUGCGAAGGGCCAUGGAAAUCUUGGGGAGAGUUUGUAGUGUCGUAGGCGCCUGUUGGAUUCUUUUGGGUUCUUAGUUUUGCGAAUUGUUCCUCUAGUUCUCUGUUGAUUACUUCUAGGCUAGGUUGUCGCAAUCGUUUUCCUAGGUACGGAUUGUUUAAAUUGAUGAAUGCAUUUUCGU